Molecule: unclassified non-coding RNA, 357 nt
Filed under: soil metagenome
Description: partial contains 5.8S ribosomal RNA, internal transcribed spacer 2, and large subunit ribosomal RNA
Rfam family: 5.8S ribosomal RNA (bases 1-120)
Source: RNAcentral
GAUGAAGAACGUAGUGAAAUGCGAUAAGUAAUGUGAAUUGCAGAAUUCAGUGAAUCAUCGAAUCUUUGAACGCACAUUGCGCCCGUCAGUAUUCUGGCGGGCAUGCCUGUUCGAGCGUCAUUACGCCCCUCAAGUCCCCUGUGGACUUGGUGUUGGGGAUCGGCGAGGCUGGUUUUCCAGCACAGCCGUCCCUUAAAUUAAUUGGCGGUCUCGCCGUGGCCCUCCUCUGCGCAGUAGUAAAACACUCGCAACAGGAGCCCGGCGCGGUCCACUGCCGUAAAACCCCCCAACUUUUUAUAGUUGACCUCGAAUCAGGUAGGACUACCCGCUGAACUUAAGCAUAUCAAUAAGCGAGGA